UACGUAGGGGACUAGCGUUGUUCGGAAUCACUGGGCGUAAAGCGCACGUAGGCGGAUUUGUAAGUCAGGGGUGAAAUCCCGGGGCUCAACCUCGGAACUGCCUUUGAUACUGCGAAUCUUGAGUCCGAUAGAGGUGGGUGGAAUUCCUAGUGUAGAGGUGAAAUUCGUAGAUAUUAGGAAGAACACCGGUGGCAAAGGCGGCCCACUGGAUCGGUACUGACGCUGAGGUGCGAAAGCGUGGGGAGCAAACAGG
Molecule: ribosomal RNA, 253 nt
Filed under: uncultured bacterium
Lineage: Bacteria
Description: partial 16S ribosomal RNA
Rfam family: Bacterial small subunit ribosomal RNA
Source: RNAcentral